GAUAGCCAAAUGAAUCGAAAGGUUCAUGUUUGGUUCGAGAAGGGAUCAUGGAAUUUUUGAAAUAAAAAAAAUGAAUGGAAAGAUAAUCUACUUUCAU
This is a non-coding RNA of Gossypium raimondii (Peruvian cotton), 97 nucleotides long. NCBI's taxonomy places the organism in Eukaryota, Viridiplantae, Streptophyta, Magnoliopsida, Malvales, Malvaceae. The record is from Rfam.